This 204-nucleotide ribosomal RNA is filed under the name Hydrogenophaga taeniospiralis. RNAcentral's name for it is "partial 16S ribosomal RNA". It matches the Rfam family "Bacterial small subunit ribosomal RNA", at positions 53 to 261 of the family's 1533-position model. The record is from RNAcentral. Lineage: Bacteria; Pseudomonadati; Pseudomonadota; Betaproteobacteria; Burkholderiales; Comamonadaceae.
ACAUGCAAGUCGAACGGUAACAGGUCUUCGGAUGCUGACGAGUGGCGAACGGGUGAGUAAUGCAUCGGAACGUGCCCAGUCGUGGGGGAUAACGCAGCGAAAGCUGCGCUAAUACCGCAUACGAUCUAUGGAUGAAAGCGGGGGACCGUAAGGCCUCGCGCGAUUGGAGCGGCCGAUGUCAGAUUAGGUAGUUGGUGGGGGUAA